GGAGAGGUGCCGGAGUGGUUGAACGGGGCGGUCUCGAAAACCGCUGUAUCGCUUACGCGGUACCGUGGGUUCGAAUCCCACCCUCUCCGCCA
RNAcentral lists this transfer RNA (92 nucleotides) under Trueperaceae bacterium. RNAcentral describes it as "tRNA-Ser". It matches the Rfam family "tRNA". From Rfam's summary of the family: Transfer RNA (tRNA) molecules are approximately 80 nucleotides in length. Their secondary structure includes four short double-helical elements and three loops (D, anti-codon, and T loops). The record is from RNAcentral. Lineage: Bacteria; Thermotogati; Deinococcota; Deinococci; Trueperales; Trueperaceae.